CCUACGGGCGGCAGCAGUGAGGAAUAUUGGUCAAUGGACGAGAGUCUGAACCAGCCAAGUAGCGUGAAGGAUGACUGCCCUAUGGGUUGUAAACUUCUUUUAUAUGGGAAUAAAACGUUCCACGUGUGGGAUUUUGUAUGUACCAUAUGAAUAAGGAUAGGCUAACUCCGUGCCAGCAGCCGCGGUAAUACGGAGGAUCCGAGCGUUAUCCGGAUUUAUUGGGUUUAAAGGGAGCGUAGGUGGAUUGUUAAGUCAGUUGUGAAAGUUUGCGGCUCAACCGUAAAAUUGCAGUUGAAACUGGCAGUCUUGAGUACAGUAGAGGUGUGCGGAAUUCGUGGUGUAGCGGUGAAAUGCUUAGAUAUCACGAAGAACUCCGAUUGCGAAGGCAGUUCACUGGACUGCAACUGACACUGAGGCUCGAAAGUGUGGGUAUCAAACAGGAUUAGAUACCCGAGUAGUC
This 460-nucleotide ribosomal RNA is filed under the name uncultured bacterium. RNAcentral's name for it is "partial 16S ribosomal RNA". It matches the Rfam family "Bacterial small subunit ribosomal RNA", at positions 338 to 795 of the family's 1533-position model. The record is from RNAcentral.